Non-coding RNA from Drosophila bipectinata, 5732 nucleotides. The record is from RefSeq and is a predicted model, not a curated record. Lineage: Eukaryota; Metazoa; Arthropoda; Insecta; Diptera; Drosophilidae.
AUUUACUUUGAAUUAAAAACAGCCAAGUUAGUCGCGUUUCACCCAGUAUUUUCACUCCAAAACGCAAGCCGCGCGGUUGUGUCUGCUCUCGGUGCAGCAUCUAGUGGCAGAAAAUUAAAUAAUAAAGGCUCGGCUCGCAUGCAAUUUUCAUUAGUGAGAAAAUUGUUUUUGAAAUUCAAGAGAGCAUCCGAGUUAUACCACAAAUUAAAUACACAUUCCAUUAAAACUAUUUAAUAUUAAAAAAAAAGAAAUUAAAUAAAAAAACUAAUCGACGAGGAGGAGUUCGAACUCCGACCUAGAAGGACCAACAUGUGGCGGCAGUCAACGAUGCUGGCCGCGUUAUUAGUGGCUGCCCUCUUGGGCAGUGUAACGGCAGGAACAACCAACUCUCCACCUCGAAUUAUUAAGCAACCGGCACCCGGAGAUCUUUUAUUUAAAGUAGCACAACCAAAUAAAGAAAGCGACAAUCCAUUUAUAAUCGAAUGCGAGGCUGAUGGACAACCAGAACCAGAGUACAGCUGGAUCAAGAACGGAAAGAAGUUCAACUGGCAGGCGUACGACAACCGGAUGCUCCAGCAGCCAGGACGCGGAUCACUGGUGAUCACCUCGCCCAGGGACGAGGAUCGCGGCCACUAUCAGUGCUUCGCCUCCAACGAGUUCGGCACCGCCACCUCGAACUCGGUGUACGUGCGGAAGGCGGAACUGAAUGCGUUCAAGGACGAGAACUCCAAGACCCUGGAGGCGGUCGAGGGCGAGCCCUACAUGCUGAAGUGUGCGGCGCCCGACGGCUUCCCCAGCCCCACCGUCAACUGGAUGAUCCAGGAGGUUAGCGACGCCUCCAUCAAGUCGAUCAACAACUCCCGCAUGACCCUCGACCCGGAGGGCAAUCUCUGGUUCUCCAACGUGACCCGCGAAGAUGCCAGCGCCGACUUCUACUACGCCUGCUCGGCCACGUCAGUGUUCCGCAGCGAGUACAAGAUCGGCAACAAGGUCCUUCUCGACGUCAAGCAGAUGGGCGUCAGCGCCUCCCAGAACCGGCAUCCGCCAGUGCGCCAGUACGUCUCGCGUCGCCAGUCGCUGGCUCUGCGCGGCAAGCGCAUGGAACUGUUUUGUAUUUACGGCGGCACCCCCCUGCCCCAGACCGUGUGGAGCAAGGACGGCCAGCGGAUACAGUGGAGCGAUCGCAUCACCCAAGGACAUUACGGCAAGUCACUGGUCAUCCGACAGACGAAUUUCGACGACGCCGGCACCUACACCUGUGACGUGUCCAACGGCGUGGGCAACGCCCAGUCCUUCUCCAUCAUCCUGGAGGUGAACUCGGUGCCGUACUUCACCAAGGAGCCGGAGAUCAAGGUCGCCGCCGAGGACGAGGAGGUGACCUUCGAGUGUCGCGCCGCAGGCGUACCGGAGCCCAAGAUCAGCUGGAUCCACAACGGCAAGCCCAUCGAACAGAGCACCCCCAAUCCCAGGCGCACCGUCACCGACAACACGAUCACUAUUAUCAACCUGGUGAAGGGCGAUACCGGCAACUACGGAUGCAACGCCACCAACUCGCUGGGCUAUGUCUACCGGGAUGUGUACCUCAAUGUCCAGGCCCUGCCCCCAGAGAUCAAGGAGAAGCCGACGGACAAGGCCAGCGUGGACGGACGCAACGUGACGAUGACCUGCCGCGUCGAGGGCGCUCCCAAGCCCCUGGUCAAGUGGCUGAGGGGCAGCAACUGGCUGACCGGCGGACGCUACAACGUCCAGGCUAAUGGCGAUCUGGAGAUUCAGGAUGUCACCUUCUCGGAUGCCGGCAAGUACACGUGUUAUGCGGAGAAUAAGUUUGGAAACAAGUCCGCCGAUGGGUCUCUGAUUGUCAAGGAGCACACCCGCAUCACCCAGGAGCCGCAGAACUACGAAGUGGCCGCCGGCCAGUCCGCCACCUUCCGGUGCAAUGAGGCGCACGACGACACCCUGGACAUCCUGAUCGAUUGGCGAAAGGAUGGCCAGCCCAUCGACUUCGAGGCCCAGCCCCGGUUCGUGAAGACGAACGACAACUCACUGACCAUUGCCAAGACCAUGGAGCUGGACUCGGGCGAGUACACGUGCGUGGCGAGGACGCGACUCGACGAGGCGACCGCCAAGGCCAAUCUGAUCGUUCAGGAUGUGCCGAACGCGCCCAAGCUGCUGGGCAUCACCUGCCAGGCGGACAAGGCCGAGAUCUCGUGGGAGCCGCAGGGCGACAACCGAUCCCCCAUCCUCCACUACACCAUCCAGUUCAACACCUCCUUCACGCCCGCCUCCUGGGACGCUGCCUACGAAAAGGUGCCCAACACUGACUUCUCCUUUGUGGUCCAGAUGUCGCCGUGGGCGAACUACACCUUCCGGGUGAUCGCCUUCAACAAGAUCGGACCCUCGCCCCCGUCUGCCCACAGCGAGAGCUGCACCACCCAGCCGGAUGUGCCGUACAAGAACCCCGACAACGUGGUCGGCCAGGGCACUGAGCCCAACAACCUGGUCAUCUCGUGGACGCCCAUGCCGGAGAUCGAGCACAACGCCCCCGGCUUCCAGUACCGUGUCAACUGGAAACGCGACAUUCCGGCCGCUCCCUGGGAGAACCAGAACAUCUACGACUGGCGACAGACCAACAUCGUGAUCACCGACCAGCCCACCUUCGUCAAGUACCUGAUCAAGGUGGUGGCCAUCAACGAGCGGGGCGAGUCCAAUGUGGCUGCCGAAGAGGUGGUGGGCUACUCCGGCGAGGAUCGUCCUCUGGACGCGCCGACCAACUUCACGAUGCGCCAGAUCACCUCCUCCACCAGCGGCUACAUGGCCUGGACGCCCGUCAGCGAGGAGUCGGUGAGGGGCCACUUCAAGGGCUACAAGAUCCAGACCUGGACCGAGAAGGAGGGCGAGGAGGGACUGCGCGAGAUCCACGUCAAGGGCGACACCCACAAUGCUCUCGUCACCCAGUUCAAGCCCGACUCCAAGAACUUUGCCCGCAUCCUGGCCUACAACGGCCGCUUCAACGGCCCACCCAGUGCCGUCAUCGAUUUCGAUACACCCGAAGGUGUGCCGUCGCCUGUCCAGGGUCUGGACGCCUACCCGCUGGGCUCAUCCGCCUUCUGGCUGACCUGGAAGAAGCCUCUCUAUCCCAACGGCAAGCUAACCGGCUACAAGAUCUACUACGAGGAGGUGCAGGGCAGCUAUGUCGGCGAGCGCCGGGAGUACGAUCCCCAUAUCACCGAUCCGAGGGUCACCAGGAUGAAGAUGGCCGGUCUGAAGCCGAACUCCAAGUACCGCAUCUCCAUUACGGCCACCACCAAGAUGGGAGAAGGUUCCGAGCACUACAUCGAGAAGCGCACCCUCCAGGAUGAGGCCGCCGUGACGGCACCUGCCACGCCCUCGUUCUCCUGGGAACAACUGCCCUCCGACAAUGGCCUGGCCAAGUUCCGCAUCAACUGGCAACCCAGCACCGAAGGACAUGCGGGCACCCACUUCUUCACCAUGUAUAGGAUAAAGGGUGAAACGCAAUGGCUCCGCCUGCCCGAGGAGAAGAACAAGGACUACCAGGAGGUAGCCGGUCUGGAUCCGGAGACCGCCUAUGAGUUCCGUGUCGUGUCCGUCGACGGUCACUUCAAUACGGAGAGUGCCACGCAGGAGAUCGACACGAACAGUGUCGAGGGCCCCACCAUGGUGCGCAGCGAGACGGUGGCGAAUGCCGGCUGGUUCAUUGGCAUGAUGCUGGCCCUGGCCUUCAUCAUCUUCAUCUUCAUCAUUGUGUGCAUUAUCCGGCGCAACCGGGGCGGCAAGUACGACGUCCAUGAUCGGGAGCUGGCCAAUGGCCGGCGGGACUAUCCCGACGAGGGCGGCUUCCACGAGUACUCGCAACCUUUGGAUAACAAGAGCGCUGGUCGCCAAUCCGUGAGUUCAGCGAACAAGCCCGGCGUGGAGAGCGACACCGAUUCGAUGGCCGAGUACGGUGAUGGCGAUACUGCAGCUGUGGCCACUGCAGCUGCCCGCGCCGCUGCCGCUGCCCGCAAAGGAGGCAGCAAGUCGAUAUCGCUGCCAGCAACCCAACAGCAGCAAAAACAACUACAGCAACAGCAACAGGAUCAACUGCAACAACAACAACAGCAGUUGCUGUCUCAGCUACCGUCGACGUCUGCGUCGGCAUCUUCCGCAAACACAUCCGUUUCCGUUCCACCAUUGCCUUUAUCCCCACCGCCGUCCUCCCCCUCACCGGCCCCGCCCUCCUACGAUGUGGUCAUGGCGGACGGUGGGAACAACAAAGCCUAAGAGAAUAGAGAAAGGCAGGCUCCUGUCUUCCUAUUCCUCUAACUUUAUUGUGUUGCUGUUGUUGUUGCCCAACCCCACCGCCCCCAUCCUCGAACCACACAGCAGCCAUAUUCUCACAAUCACACGAACACACACAUGCUCUCACAUGCAAGCGAUUCCAAUCAGUCCAGGCAUGAACGAAGACGGAUCCUUUAUUGGCCAAUAUGGACGCAAAGGACUUUGAUUUAAUUAGUAAGCAGCGCGCCGCAACAACAACUACAACUCAAAUAUAGAAACCGAGCCCUUAAAAAAACAAACAUAUACAUACAACAAAAACAAACAAUUCCCCACAGAAUCCAAUACACUAAACAACAAAAAAAACGAACCAUUGACAAAUCAUCACAGGAUUCAACGCAACAACGUUUCUGCUUCGAUUAUGUUUUAAAAUCGACAAUUAAUUUUAAAUAUAUAUAAAUUAUAUAUAAAAUUAAUUUAGAAAAUUCAAAACUGCCAAACAAAUUGAACAACAACAGCAACCAUAUAAAACAACAACAACAAAAUGCAGCAAAAGGCUAUAAACAAAAAGCAAGGAGAAGAUGACGAUGCUAAGAAAGUGAAAGAGGAAGCAAACGAAGCAGAUAAAAAUUUAAAUAUUAAAUGAAAAAACAUCCGAAUAUAUCGAAAUCACAAAAUUAUGGAAAACAGGCCUCUAAAAAAAAAACAAAGAGAAACAGGCCAACGAAAUAUUCAAAUUAAUUUGGAUUUUAUUUCGAACACACACAUUUUUUGGCAGCUAUUUAUUAUCGCUAUGAAAGUACGGAAAUUGAAGCUCGCUUAUAAAAUCUCCAAUAUUUAAUAAUAUAUUUAAAAAAUAUAUGCAUACAUUUGUAUGUAUGUAUACCUGUCCCCAUCUGUCCCGUGCACUGCAUACCACGCUCUGUAUAUCUGUCCCGCUCUCUUUUACUUGUAAUGCAAAUAUAUAGAAAUAUAUAUAUAUAUAGAGCCUAAAUAAGUUAUAAUUUAACAUUAUUUUUUUACAAGAAACAAAACAAAUGAAAUGCAAAAAAAAAAAAAAAAAAAAAAAAAUACAAUUGAAUGUAAAAUCUCCGUUUUAGCUUGGCCGAACGAAAAUCAAACAUUUUUGCUUACAUGUUUACUUUUAUUCUUAUAUAUUCUUUAGAUUACUUUGUAUUUUUUGUUUUAUACUUUUUUUUUUAUUUUGUACUCUCUUAGUUUUUGUAAUGAAUUUUUUAUUUUUUAAUUUUUUUUGUCAACUUGAUUUGGACAGUGAAACAGUGUUGUAAAAUGUAAAAAAUGUUUCCUUUACGUUUGUUUUCCCGGAAAAGAGAAUGCAACAAAAUAAGUUUCUUUUUUUUCCGAGUAGUAUUUAAUAUUAAAGAAUCAAGAUGAGCAGACCCAGCUGCUUAACUAUAUGAGAAAUACAAUUUGUUUAUAUAUUAAAUAAAAUUAGA